GUUUGAUCAUGGCUCAGGAUGAACGCUAGCUACAGGCUUAACACAUGCAAGUCGAGGGGCAUCAGGAAGAAAGCUUGCUUUCUUUGCUGGCGACCGGCGCACGGGUGAGUAACACGUAUCCAACCUGCCCUUUACUCGGGGAUAGCCUUUCGAAAGAAAGAUUAAUACCCGAUAGCAUAAUGAUUCCGCAUGGUUUCAUUAUUAAAGGAUUCCGGUAAAGGAUGGGGAUGCGUUCCAUUAGGUUGUUGGUGAGGUAACGGCUCACCAAGCCUUCGAUGGAUAGGGGUUCUGAGAGGAAGGUCCCCCACAUUGGAACUGAGACACGGUCCAAACUCCUACGGGAGGCAGCAGUGAGGAAUAUUGGUCAAUGGGCGUUAGCCUGAACCAGCCAAGUAGCGUGAAGGAUGAAGGCUCUAUGGGUCGUAAACUUCUUUUAUAUAAGAAUAAAGUGCAGUAUGUAUACUGUUUUGUAUGUAUUAUAUGAAUAAGGAUCGGCUAACUCCGUGCCAGCAGCCGCGGUAAUACGGAGGAUCCGAGCGUUAUCCGGAUUUAUUGGGUUUAAAGGGAGCGUAGGUGGGCUGGUAAGUCAGUUGUGAAAGUUUGCGGCUCAACCGUAAAAUUGCAGUUGAUACUGUCAGUCUGAGUACAGU
RNAcentral lists this ribosomal RNA (650 nucleotides) under uncultured bacterium. Its description in RNAcentral is "bacterial SSU rRNA". It matches the Rfam family "Bacterial small subunit ribosomal RNA", at positions 11 to 652 of the family's 1533-position model. The record is from RNAcentral.